Molecule: ribosomal RNA, 1372 nt
Filed under: uncultured bacterium
Lineage: Bacteria
Description: bacterial SSU rRNA
Rfam family: Bacterial small subunit ribosomal RNA
Source: RNAcentral
AGCCGAGCGGUAUGGAUAGCUUGCUAUCCAGAGAGCGGCGUACGGGUGCGUAACACGUGUGCAACCUGCCUUUAUCUGGGGGAUAGCCUUUCGAAAGGAAGAUUAAUACCCCAUAAUAUGGUGUCCGGCAUCGGUCGCCAUUGAAAGCCUCGGCGGAUAGAGAUGGGCACGCGCAAGAUUAGAUAGUUGGCGGGGUAACGGCCCACCAAGUCGAUGAUCUUUAGGGGUCCUGAGAGGGAGAUCCCCCACACUGGUACUGAGACACGGACCAGACUCCUACGGGAGGCAGCAGUGAGGAAUAUUGGACAAUGGGUGGAAGCCUGAUCCAGCCAUCCCGCGUGAAGGAUGACGGUUCUAUGGAUUGUAAACUUCUUUUGUACAGGGAUAAACCUGCCCUCGUGAGGGCAGCUGAAGGUACUGUACGAAUAAGCACCGGCUAACUCCGUGCCAGCAGCCGCGGUAAUACGGAGGGUGCGAGCGUUAUCCGGAUUUAUUGGGUUUAAAGGGUCCGUAGGCGGGCCUGUAAGUCAGUGGUGAAAUCUCAUAGCUUAACUAUGAAACUGCCAUUGAUACUGCAGGCCUUGAGUAAAUUUGAAGUGGCUGGAAUAAGUAGUGUAGCGGUGAAAUGCAUAGAUAUUACUUAGAACACCGAUUGCGAAGGCAGGUCACUAAGAUUUAACUGACGCUGAUGGACGAAAGCGUGGGGAGCGAACAGGAUUAGAUACCCUGGUAGUCCACGCCGUAAACGAUGCUAACUCGUUUUUGGAUCUUCGGGUUCAGAGACCAAGCGAAAGUGAUAAGUUAGCCACCUGGGGAGUACGUCCGCAAGGAUGAAACUCAAAGGAAUUGACGGGGGCCCGCACAAGCGGUGGAUUAUGUGGUUUAAUUCGAUGAUACGCGAGGAACCUUACCAAGACUUAAAUGGGAAUUGACAGAUUUAGAAAUAGAUCCUCCUUCGGGCAAUUUUCAAGGUGCUGCAUGGUUGUCGUCAGCUCGUGCCGUGAGGUGUUAGGUUAAGUCCUGCAACGAGCGCAACCCCUGCCAACAGUUGCCAUCAUUCAGUUGGGGACUCUGUUGGGACUGCCUACGCAAGUAGAGAGGAAGGUGGGGAUGACGUCAAAUCAUCACGGCCCUUACGUCUUGGGCCACACACGUAAUACAAUGGCCGGUACAGAGGGCAGCUACCUGGUGACAGGAUGCGAAUCUCGAAAGCCGGUCUCAGUUCGGAUUGGAGUCUGCAACUCGACUCUAUGAAGCUGGAAUCGCUAGUAAUCGCGCAUCAGCCAUGGCGCGGUGAAUACGUUCCCGGGCCUUGUACACACCGCCCGUCAAGCCAUGGAAGUCUGGGGUACCUGAAGUCGGUGACCGUAAU